CCAGCAUAGUUAGUUAAUUAUCAUUUAUUACUUAUGAAUAAAAGAAAGAUUAAGCAUUUGAGGUGUGUUGAAGCAACACUGUUGAAGGAAUUAUUUGCACCUUUUUAUAAAUAUUAAACAUCUCAUACUUCUGCUAAUCGAUAUCAGGCAUAUAAGUUAGUUGUGAAUAUCCUAAUUCCAUUCUUAAUUCAUCUACACGUGAAGUUAAUUAAACUAGUUCUGAUGGAUUGGAGGUAGCUUUGCAUGCUUUGAGAUCUAAAUGUUUAUUAUGGUCAAUUGGUAGUUAUACAAGCCAAUGAUCACAUUGCUAGGUUACGAAGCUUGGUAGUUAUACAAGCCCAUGUAUUCUUCUCAUUGCUAGGUUAUGAAACUUGUUCUUGCUUCGACUUAGGCGGUCAAAGAUGCAUUAGUAAGGUCAAAGAUGCAUUAGUAAAGCACAUUAGAAGAACAGUGAUUCCACAACUUCUAAAGGUCUGAGCAGAUAUUAAGGUGAAAUGCUUUCAGUUUGAUGGAGUUCUUCACAUUAAGGAGGCAAUGCAGAAGGCGAAAGUUUUUGGGAAUUAGGGUUUUCCUUAAUCUGCUUGUUGCAAAUCUGAGAAGGUGUGAGCCUGAAGAAGUUUGGUGGUCGCGGUUCUCGUGCUAGGCUUCAGAAAUCCAAUCCUACUGCUGAAAAAGCAAAGCUUGGUGACUCUUUGAGUUAUAGGGGUUGCAAAAUCAGUAAUGCUCCUGGGAUAAUUCAAAAGUGUUUUCCGUAUGACUGUUGCAAAUGUGUUUAAGGGCGUCCCAACAAGGCGAUUUGCUUUCAGGUUUAUUUCAGCAAAGAAACAAUUUCCUUAUCAAUAUUUCCUUUUGGAAAGGCUACAAUUUGAGAAAUCUCUCUAGCCUAACUCAAUUCCACUGAUCGAAGGUUGAAUAUACAGCGAAUUGGUUGAUGUGGCAACAGUAAGCCCAGGGAACAAUUAUGAUGUGGGAACAUGAUUGCAUGAGCAUUAUUAUAACCGUAUGAAGAUUGAGAAAGAGGUUCAAGAACGCAAUGAAGUUUUAAAUUUUUUAUUCAAAUGUCUUUUAGCUUUA
Helianthus annuus (common sunflower) is the source of this 1074-nucleotide long non-coding RNA. RefSeq lists it as uncharacterized. The transcript has 5 exons. Lineage: Eukaryota; Viridiplantae; Streptophyta; Magnoliopsida; Asterales; Asteraceae. The record is from RefSeq and is a predicted model, not a curated record.